RNAcentral lists this ribosomal RNA (430 nucleotides) under uncultured bacterium. RNAcentral's name for it is "bacterial SSU rRNA". It matches the Rfam family "Bacterial small subunit ribosomal RNA", at positions 354 to 796 of the family's 1533-position model. The record is from RNAcentral.
GUGGGGAAUAUUGCACAAUGGGCGCAAGCCUGAUGCAGCAACGCCGCGUGAGGGAUGACGGCCUUCGGGUUGUAAACCUCUUUUAGUAGGGAAGAAGCGAAAGUGACGGUACCUGCAGAAAAAGCACCGGCUAACUACGUGCCAGCAGCCGCGGUAAUACGUAGGGUGCAAGCGUUGUCCGGAAUUAUUGGGCGUAAAGAGCUCGUAGGCGGCUUGUCGCGUCUGCUGUGAAAACCCGAGGCUCAACCUCGGGCCUGCAGUGGGUACGGGCAGGCUAGAGUGCGGUAGGGGAGAUUGGAAUUCCUGGUGUAGCGGUGGAAUGCGCAGAUAUCAGGAGGAACACCGAUGGCGAAGGCAGAUCUCUGGGCCGUAACUGACGCUGAGGAGCGAAAGCAUGGGGAGCGAACAGGAUUAGAAACCCCGGUAGUCC